This 5429-nucleotide long non-coding RNA is filed under the name Drosophila melanogaster (fruit fly). Its description in RNAcentral is "long non-coding RNA:CR42862 (Dmel_CR42862)". Lineage: Eukaryota; Metazoa; Arthropoda; Insecta; Diptera; Drosophilidae. The record is from RNAcentral.
ACCCAGUUAAAAAGAGUGCGUUGUGUAGAACAGUCAUAAGCAGUCCGCUAAGAGAUUAGUAGCAACUACGAAGUGAAGUCGCAAACAUGUGCAAGGCUGUUGUAGAUUGUAAAGAAAGAAUGAAGGAUUGGAAGAGUGUGAGGAGACGCUGAGCAAACGGCCUUCAAAUCGAAAGUGGUGUGAGUCAUGGGCGCUGCCACCAUCUAUGCGAAAAGCCCACCAAGCAUUGGUCACGGAGCACACUCGUUUCCUGCUCCUCGCACGUUAAUGGCAACGAUGAUGAGGAACGGAACACAAACAAGAAACUACGUCGCAGUGGGUCACUGAAUGAAUCCGCGUCCCGGUAGCAACAAUAGUUCGACUAUGGCUGGUACUGGUAAAGAAGAAUCCCGAACACGAUCGUCGCAGUGACGAUGACGUUGCGUUGUAGAAUUACUGAGUGAGUCUCAACGUCUGUCCGAGUCCCCCCACGUCCACCGCCAGGCACUGAGUUCCGCAAACCAGCCGAUGGCCGAUUCUACACAGAUCGCCGGAGCAGGGAGCAGCAGCAGCAAACACCACCGAGUCUCCUCUGCAUGCCAAUGCCCAUGCAAUUCAGUCGCAGCGGACAGAACAUUGGGGACAAGGCGGAAUGCGCGCGGCAGCAGCUCCAGCUCGCAUCAGCUUACCUGCGUUUGAAGCUCUCGUGCUGUUGCCAACCACCGACAAUCACCACCUAUUCUGCAUUGAACGCUUCGCAGCUGCUGAUCACCACCCACCCAUCCGCACAGAUACACGGUAUUUGGUAUAUCAGCUGCGAACAAAAUAUUGCUUUUUAAACAAAAUUCCAGAGAAAAGAACAGCGGAGCAUUCAUUUAUCAUCGAAACGACAUUGAGGAACUGCUGUAAUCCUUUCGGGUGAACACCGUGUGCGAUUGUUAUUGUGAUAUACAAUUGAAAGGCAGUCGUCGAGUUUUUAUCUUUCUGUCUUCGCUCGGUACACUUUUCUGGACUUCUCUUUCACCGUUUGUGAUUUUGGCAAGCGAUUAUUGGACCCCUUUCCAUUCAAACUCCCCAUCUUCCUAAUCAAUAGGCUAGAUAAGGCCGCUUAAAUCUUUGUAGCUGCAUGUCACAGUUGAUCGGUUCCUGUGGGUGCUUUUGUUUGAUGGGAUUGCUUUGCGGUCUUCAAGUAUUCACGGUCUUGAGGGCUCCAGACGAGGAUCUUUCCAGCAAAUCUAUGCGCAAGCAGGCGUCAAAGAGUUUGUAGACUAGGCACGACCAUCACAUUUCGUUUUUUUUUUUUUUUUAUAGCGUUGCAUCGCAGUUGAUCGGUGCCUGCGGGCAUGUAUAAAUGGAAUCUAGCGAGGCGGAAGAUUGAGGUCUUCAAUUCUAUGGCCCCAAACAACGCUCCUGCGACAUCAAUCCCUCAAUUAGAAUAUGUGCAAAGAAGCAUAACUAAUCAACUGAACAAGCGUAAAAGCUAAGAUAUAUGCAACCGAUAUCUUUUCUUUCGUAUUUUGUAGAAAUACAUUUUCAUGGACUGAUAAUCUACAGAGAAUACCAACUCGGCGCUAUGGGCCCGCCCAAUACAUGUAAAUUUGUGAUUUUAUGUCCAAAAUAUUUUUUGUCUUGUAGCAUUAUGGGUGCAGUUGAAUGUACCUGCCCAUAAUUAAAGCCUGCAAAUCAAGAGUUAUUGUUAAACGCAAGAGGGAACAUUUUGAACAGACUCAAAUCUGUACACGGCCUCUGUAAGGAAUGUGCAAUCGAUACCCUUUUCUCUCGUAUUUUAUAGAAAUACAUGUUGUGGAACAGUUUAGAUGCUAUGGAAUUGUACCACGUAGUUGGACCACCACACAAAUUUAAUUAAAGUAUGGAGAAAAACUUUUUUCUGUUUUCAAGCUGUUCCCGUUGAAUGUGCCUGCCCACAUCUCAUCUAUAGCUUCUGAGUAAAUCCAACAGCGAACCGUCUAUUCUUGGGACUUUAACAGCGUUUGAGAAAUGGUUGGAUCUUUACAUUGCUCAUUUAAUACUAAAGUUAAUCUUCUUUCCCAAUACCUAGACGCUUAUUUAUGAAUUCAUUGCAGUGUUUAUACAGAGACAUCGGUUUCAAGCAACCAGUCUUAUCAAUCACAUAGUUGACAUACCAGUGCACAUUUGCCUGUAUUAAAACCAACCGAGAACAUGUAGCAAAAUUUCUUGAGGCAAUGGGAAUCAAAUGCCAACUUGAAAGCAAUAACACCAACACUAAGUCGUCGCAGUCCAACAUCCAUACUACACGGCGAAUUCGAAUUGAAGACGCUGGUCAGGAUGUGGAUUAUCUGUCACAGAAACUUCGUUUGUCUUGAGCGUCGCUAAGAUUGGCCGUUUGACCCUCCCAAAAGUGAGAUUCUAAGCAGCCUUAAAUUUAUUUUACAAUUCUUACAGCGGUGCCGCACAGUUGAGUGUGCCUGUGGGCAUCGACUAAGCAAUAUUUGAACCGAAGGGCAGGGCAGUGGACCGUUCCGUUGAUGAUGAUGUGCACCGCUCCGAGCUGGCUAAGUCUACUGCUGUGCUGCUGCAAAUCGUUAAAGGGAACCCAAAACGAUGCAUCAAGUCCAUCCAGUUAGGCUUCUCUUCCAAAGCACAGCUCACCUGCGCUACAACGACAACCAAUUCAAUCGCACCUGCUUCUGCAAGCGAUCACAAUACGUCAAAUGAGCAUCGAGCACAGAAAGCAAGCAAACAACCAGGUUAAUGGCUUCCUCUGCUGACUAUGAAACUAUACGCCUUUACAUUGCAGCCAAGAAGCCUCUUAGUGCAUAUUCAACUACCAGCACAGAGCUUCUCAAUGACUGGAGUAAGCAUUGUUCUGACCGCAUCGGACCCUGACCGAGUCCGACUUGGGUGCCUCUGGUCGCAAGAUCUACAUUAGGACAGAGCCAGAAUAGGAGCGCUUAUCUAGCGCCAUGAUGUGCUGAGCUGAACCUAAGCACGUACUGCAUUGCACCGCACAGAUAUGUGCGUUCGGUCCACGCUAAAGGGAAUCAAAUGCGUUUGGACCGAGAGCCGAUACACCGCACCAUCACCAGUAUUCGCUGUGAAGUGAGCUGAUGUGUUGUCGUUGUUACAGGGCUGCUGCUGCAACUGCUCCACAGGUAUCCUCGCCUAGCGUCGGUAACUAUCAUUUGUCAAUUUUAGCGGCCGGCAGUGUACAUCAAACAUUGAAGUCCGGAGUCCGGAGUGGCAUGUAAUUAACGGCAGAUGUGAAACCAGCAAAUGGUGCUCAAGCAUUCCAUUUUAAAUCUGAAGAUUGUCAGCAGUAACAGUUAAAGACUAUCGACGCAGACUUGCAGAACGAAGCGCAGGAAGGACAAAGCACUUCGAUCACCAGCGGGUUGUCGUUUUACUUGCACUUUCCUUCCGUAGGUAGCCCAGAAUUCGAGAAAGCCCAUAUCCAUCGCAAAGGGAAACAAAUGCGAUUAGUGUUUGAAGACCAAGCUGGGUGUCCAAUGUGUCGCACCACGAUUAGCCAGUUGAGCCCAUAACUCCUGGCCCGCCGAUCAUCGUACCGCAAAAGGGAAUCAAAUGCGAGGUGGUACUACAGCAGUCGAGCUCCUCGUUGAGCUCCUGGUUUAAGUCGAACUCCCAACUGAGCUCCUGGUCGAGUUCUUCGCUUCAGCGUUUUUAUCGUAAAGGGAAUCCAACGCGAUGUACAGCGACAGCGGCAGGCAGGGUCACCCAAUACACAAAGGUAUACCAAUAUGAUCAGAGUUCCAGUCCGUGCAAUUACGCUUUUCAGAACCUCUCAAAAACUAAUCUGCACGUGUCUAAAUCUGGCUGCCAUGCCAGGCGCGACAUCAAUCAUAUUCGCCAUGUUGGUCUCAAAGGGAAUCCAAGAGACACGCGCCCCGCGGUACAACCAACUGAAGACCAAAUAGAUUUUGUUAUGCAUUUAUAACCAAGCAUUUUAGAAGUCAUAUCCUCAUAAUUUUUUCCUUUAGUGUUUCCAAAUCUAUGUAUUCUAAACGAAUCGUUUCAUUAUCUUGUAGGCUUUUAUAAACCUUUAAUUUAUUACUUGUAAACCUUUCCUCUAAGAGUCAAUGCAGACAUCCGACUUCGCUGACGAUUGCAUCGGGACUGCAUUACCCUAGGAUAGACGGUCCGGUCUAGAAGUAGCAGCAAGAGUCAGUUAAAUAUCAGUACCGCUAUUAGCAGAAGAUUCAUGGCAGUAAGAUGAUGUGGAUGCACCGUACAUAGACGUUUCAAACUGCAGAGGAUCGUUUGACCCCCGAACCAAGGCAGGGAGACCAUACAUACACAGGCGGAGGCAGUGCUGACCCUCAAUACAUUCGAGUAUUUCAACACUCUACCUUUUACCUAUAUUUACUGGGCAUUCAAUCACCAAAUUCGCAUCCUGGGUCUAUUUGGAGCAUAUUAAGAACGAACACUACACGGCGUAGGAGCACCACACGAUUUGGUCAUUUUUAUUAUGAGAAGUCCUAAAAUCCUCCUCGGAUCAUUCCUCAUUAUCUGCAUUUGGAGCAACAAGUAGGCUGGAGGUAUCAUUUCUUCACUAAGCACCAUCGAUUUCACACUACUGGCUUGGGAUAGCACCUAAUUCUUUACGAGUUUCGGCACUGAUGACGACUUCAAUCCUUGUUUCAACCCGUACCCCUUCGAACCAAUAUAAAAGUUGGAUUGCAUACAGCUUUCGCUUCGCUACACACUGGUCGAUUCUUUUUCUUUGUGAGGACCCUUCGUGAGGAUAUUAGAUUUGUUGAAGAAUGAUUCUCUAACUUGGACUGCGGCGUGGGAUUCAGUCUAAUUUAACCAUCGACAGCGGCCUAGGAGUAAAUUUGGACAGCGGCGUGGGAUUUUCGGCUCUCAAAGACGACGGCGGCGGACGUACGGAUAGUUCAGACUGCGGCGAGGGAUAUCAAGUUUUUGCAACGCGGGAUUAUUAGGGCGUUUAGGCCAGGGCGCUAGGAACCAUAUUCUUAAGACUACUGGAAUUUACAUCAAUGGAGAUGACUGCGGCGUGGGAGACGGAGAUCGGGACUGCAGCGAGGGAUCGAGGUUCUGGACAGCGGCGCGGGAUUCUUAUAAGAUUGGACGGCGGCGUGGGACCUUUUUUGACGGCAGCGUGGGAGUUUAGGACUGCAGCGCGGGAAUUUCUGACGGCGGCGAGGGAUCCUCGGUUUAAUUUUUCGGCAAUUGGUCAGCCAUCGCAUUCCAUAUACAUGCGUGUCACUCCAUUUAUUGAUAGUUCAAAGCUGAUAUACUUAGGUGGCGUGAUCAGCGUAAUCACGCCUCCAAAAAUACGCAUCCCUGAUUAUCCCUUAUAUGGAAAAUCUUCAUUGAAUAUACAUUUAUUUACACUUCUGGAAUACCGGAAAGCAACCCCAAUACUUAUGCCGAUGAUUCUAAUACAUGAAACGAUUUAAGAUCACAAUAAAUUGAUUUUUGAAAAG